This 1163-nucleotide ribosomal RNA is filed under the name Acinetobacter baumannii. RNAcentral describes it as "bacterial LSU rRNA". It matches the Rfam family "Bacterial large subunit ribosomal RNA", at positions 1 to 1207 of the family's 2925-position model. The record is from RNAcentral. Lineage: Bacteria; Pseudomonadati; Pseudomonadota; Gammaproteobacteria; Moraxellales; Moraxellaceae.
GUUGUAUAGUCAAGUAAUUAAGUGCAUGUGGUGGAUGCCUUGGCAGUCAGAGGCGAUGAAAGACGUGAUAGCCUGCGAAAAGCUCCGGGGAGGCGGCAAAUAUCCUUUGAUCCGGAGAUGUCUGAAUGGGGGAACCCACCUACUUUAAGGUAGGUAUUGCAACAUGAAUACAUAGUGUUGCAAGGCGAACGAGGGGAAGUGAAACAUCUCAGUACCCUUAGGAAAAGAAAUCAAUUGAGAUUCCCUCAGUAGCGGCGAGCGAACGGGGAUCAGCCCAUUAAGUUAUGUGUGUUUUAGUGGAACGCUCUGGGAAGUGCGAACGUAGAGGGUGAUAUUCCCGUACACGAAAGGGCACACAUAAUGAUGACGAGUAGGGCGAGGCACGUGAAACCUUGUCUGAAUAUGGGGGGACCAUCCUCCAAGGCUAAAUACUCCUGACUGACCGAUAGUGAACCAGUACCGUGAGGGAAAGGCGAAAAGAACCCCUGUGAGGGGAGUGAAAUAGAUCCUGAAACCGCAUGCAUACAAGCAGUGGGAGCACCUUCGUGGUGUGACUGCGUACCUUUUGUAUAAUGGGUCAGCGACUUAUAUUCAGUAGCAAGGUUAACCGUAUAGGGGAGCCGUAGAGAAAUCGAGUCUUAAUAGGGCGUUUAGUUGCUGGGUAUAGACCCGAAACCAGGCGAUCUAUCCAUGAGCAGGUUGAAGGUUGGGUAACACUAACUGGAGGACCGAACCCACUGUCGUUGAAAAGCCAGGGGAUGACUUGUGGAUAGGGGUGAAAGGCUAAUCAAGCCUGGUGAUAGCUGGUUCUCCCCGAAAGCUAUUUAGGUAGCGCCUCGGACGAAUACCAUAGGGGGUAGAGCACUGUUUCGGCUAGGGGGUCAUCCCGACUUACCAAACCGAUGCAAACUCCGAAUACCUAUGAGUACUAUCCGGGAGACAGACUGCGGGUGCUAACGUCCGUAGUCAAGAGGAAAACAAUCCAGACCGCCAGCUAAGGCCCCAAAAUCAUAGUUAAGUGGGAAACGAUGUGGGAAGGCAUAGACAGCUAGGAGGUUGGCUUAGAAGCAGCCACCCUUUAAAGAAAGCGUAAUAGCUCACUAGUCGAGUCGGCCUGCGCGGAAGAUGUAACGGGGCUAAAACUAUGUGCCGAAGCUGCGGAU